This 375-nucleotide ribosomal RNA is filed under the name uncultured bacterium. RNAcentral's name for it is "bacterial SSU rRNA". It matches the Rfam family "Bacterial small subunit ribosomal RNA", at positions 521 to 896 of the family's 1533-position model. The record is from RNAcentral.
UAAUACGAAGGGGGCUAGCGUUGCUCGGAAUUACUGGGCGUAAAGCGCACGUAGGCGGCGAUUCAAGUUAGAUGUGAAAGGCCUGGGCUCAACCCGGGAACUGCAUUUGAUACUGAAUUGCUAGAGUCCAAGAGAGGGUAGUGGAAUUCCCAGUGUAGAGGUGAAAUUCGUAGAUAUUGGGAAGAACACCAGUGGCGAAGGCGGCUACCUGGCUUGGUACUGACGCUCAGGUGCGAAAGCGUGGGGAGCGAACAGGAUUAGAUACCCUGGUAGUCCACGCCGUAAACGAUGGGUGCUAGAUGUCGGGCAGCAUGCUGUUCGGUGUCGUAGCUAACGCGUUAAGCACCCCGCCUGGGGAGUACGGCCGCAAGGUUA